GCUUAUGUUAGCCUACUCUUAGCUUUAGGUUGUGUUGUAAAAGGGUCAUUUAUAAAGUCCAAGUUCUUUGGAAGAGUCCUUGGCGCUCUUUCAAAAUCUUUGCAACUUUAUUUGCUUUUCUUAUUUUAAUAUAGCUUAGACUGAUGAGUGUGUCUUGUUUUCCAAAGCUACAAGUCUCACUAUAGGAGUAGAAUUUGAUUAUCUUUGAAUUGUGUUUCGCUUAGGGGCGUAGGGAUUUUAGAGUCCGCUUAGAGUCCGCUUAGAGUCAGCC
Molecule: long non-coding RNA, 271 nt
Filed under: Vigna radiata
Lineage: Eukaryota; Viridiplantae; Streptophyta; Magnoliopsida; Fabales; Fabaceae
Description: long non-coding RNA (VRAD_LNC003683)
Source: RNAcentral